GGUGUUUUGCUUUCUUUAAAGUAAAUCCUUCAGUUGAGGUAUCACUUGGAUAUAAAUCCUUCAUCUUAAAGUAAAUCCUUCAGUUGAGUGAACAUGACCAGAGGCAAACUAAUAGUGUUUCAGUAAGCUUAUAAAUUUUCCAUAGAGAAGAAAUGAAGGGAGAAGCAUUCUUAGAGGUAUGCUUAUGAACACCGUUUGAUUCUUGGUCAUAUGUAUCACUCUUGGCUUUAGGACACUUCUGAUAUCGUCUCGAGAAAAGACAAAAGCAUUUGGUUGGCAUUUGGUGCUGAUGUGGGUAUUUCUUAUUAUGUCAUCUGCAGUUGGACCUCAACAACAGCAAGAAGUUAUGACCCGGUUACUCGAGCCUUCGAGCCAUCAGUGA
This 382-nucleotide long non-coding RNA is filed under the name Helianthus annuus (common sunflower). Its description in RNAcentral is "sRNA HanXRQr2_Chr05g0223621". The record is from RNAcentral. Lineage: Eukaryota; Viridiplantae; Streptophyta; Magnoliopsida; Asterales; Asteraceae.